GUUGCCUGAGAGUAGAACUGUAUUUGAGAUAUGGAAACUACUAUCUUAUAUAUAAAAAGCAUUGUUGUUACCUGGCUGAGCUCCAGUUCUGCUUCCUGGGUGAUUGGGACCAUCCUCAGCAUCCUGUAUGGACUCGGGCUCUUCCUCCUGUUCCUUCCCUCCCUCCAGAGGGAUUUGCCCUUACAACCACCUUACAAAAGGAGAAAGGUCAGGAAGGUAAGAAAUCCUGGACUGAGACCCACCAGAAGAUGAGUCUCCCUUCUUUUUUACUGUGAUUUCCACUUCUCUGAAUCAACUAGAGAGACUCUGGGGAGGGGAAACAAUAGGACAUCAUCCUUCUAGGGACAAGCCAGUUUGGGUGGGCAGGGGUGAGAGUGGGCACAAGGAUUUCCAUCUGAAGAUCUCGGAGCAGGAGUCCCGGUGUGGCAGAGGGCUCCAGGGAAAGUCCCCAGGCCAGUGACCAGUGGCCAAGGACGGGAUGCUGAGUGGGAUCUGUGGGAAGACAGGCCCUGAGCACUGGUUCCCCAGCCGCCUUUCUGGUGCAGGUGUCUUGACCAGGCCUUUUCUCUAUCGUGGAUGAUCUGAGGGCAGAGCUGAGCCCCCAAGAACCUCUAAGCAGGACCUGGAGUGGGGCUGUGGCCUCAGGAAGAAAAGUUCUCCCUGAGGAAGCUCAUAAGAUUCCGUAUAUCUGAGAAUGUGUGCAUUUCUUGAGCAGAGAAACAGUGACAGAAGAUCUAUGCUGGGUCCCACAUGGGGACCUUCUUAUGAUCCUCAAAGAAGGAAGACAGCAAGUGUCCAUUUUGUGUUCAAUUCUCCACUUCAAAAGUAAGUAAAAGGGAAGAAACACCCGAGAGCCCAAGGAGUUCAGUGUAGACAGUCAUCUUGCUCAUGAACGCUGGGUGUCUGCAGUGGGUCGAGAGAGAGGAGAGGGAGCCUUGGGUCUCAGACCCCACAGUUUCUUGUUUUUUCUCUCAUUUCAGUGUCAAGUGGAGCAGAGAGGGAGGAGAAGCAGGAGCAGGACGAAAAGGGCAGCUUUGAAAGCUCCCCAGGGAGGCUGUCUUCUAAGGGAUGCUUCCAUCGCUUGUCAUCUCAAGACUCCCUGGGGGAGGCCUGCAGGACAGCAUCUGCCAGAGUCCACCAACCAUGCGGGAAGGCUGUGGAAGGUGCUUCUCUCACCAUGACUCCAGCACUUUUCCUUGCUCCUCUGACACAGCCCACUCUACCUUUGGCCUCCAGUCUGCCAGCAGAACCUCCAUCUGACUUGACCAGAAUCCCGCUAGGCCGUGUUGCCAUGAGCUCAGCUCCAGCUCACUCCUGUUGGCCAUUUCCCAACUCAGGCCUCUGCCACAUGAGCUGUCGCAUUGAGUUCCUCUCCCAGUGGAACAUGAUCAAGGUCUUGCUCUUCCCCUGGUCAUCACAAUUCGAGUCCAAGCAAGGGCACCUGUCCUGACACCAACCAGUGCCCUCAUUCUGGGGAGGCCCCACAAAUAGGGAGGGAGAGACUGAUAGCCCCUCAGUUGCCAACCCUGAUGUCCAGAAGCUGAUCGAGACAGAAAUCACAGAAAGAAUACAAACGAAGUUCUGGGAAAAAGAAGAACAAGAUGAUCCAGGCACUCCUCAGAUGACCAAACACCCAGUAUCAUGUCUGGGCUGAAUUUCUGCUGGCACCUACCCCUCCUGUCCUUGGAUUCUGCUGAUCUGAAAGCAUGUGAGGUUCAACCCUUGGCCCAUCCACGGUCCACUUUUCCCUCCUCUGCCACCUGUGAUUCUGGCACCCACUUGAAAGCCGAAAUUGCAGAGUUCUUGGGAAAACCCCUUGAGCCCCAUCCAGGAGAGAAACAUAAGACUUUGACAACAAAAGCAUCAGUUCCCAUGCUGUCCUGUCCCCUCCCUUCAACUUCACCUGUGAGUGAGGAAAACCAGAAGGCCCUGGGAGGGACCCUACCUGGUGAUGGCUGUGGGCACUCAGAGGCCUUUCUGAUGGGACAGGAGAGCCGACUACCUUCUCCGAGCUUUGCAUUCAGCCUCUCGGACAGAAAUGGGCAGAGUGGGACUGUUGUGGGGGCCGAGCAAGGCCGUCUACACCUGAGUCCAGGGUCGGCAAUGGGCAGGAAUAAGCCUCUGAAAGAGAGUGGAGGUGGGGCGUCACCAGAGCCCUGCCGUGGGGUGGCAACACUGAAGGGGGAGUCAGGGUCCCAGUCUUGGAGCCAGGUGGGAGGAAUAGGAGAUGCCCUAGG
Equus caballus (horse) is the source of this 2237-nucleotide long non-coding RNA. The record is from Ensembl. NCBI's taxonomy places the organism in Eukaryota, Metazoa, Chordata, Mammalia, Perissodactyla, Equidae.